CACAGCAGUGACAACAAUGGAUCUUUCACCCACUGAGCCACCAAAGAACUCCCCCAUAACUUCUUAGAGUCAGUUUCAACUUCUUAGAUACUUACAUUCUAUUCUGAAAUGCUUUGAACUUUACUUGUCAGAAGCAGUCACUUAAUUGUGACAUUUGUGAGAGCCAAUAAAAUCCAGUAAUCUAUUUCUAUAUCAGAUAUCUACAACUGCCCGUGAGAGUACUGAUAAGUAAUUAUUGUACUGAAAACCAAAUCUGAGGUUCCCUACAUUAGCUCAGCUGCAAUAAAUACCUUGUCCAAACUCUUAUGUGGUUCUGGUCUUGGAGAGUGAAACUGGUCUAGAGAUAAAACAAGGCUAAUGAACUUUGUGAACCGGAUUGCUGUGUACAGGGUCCCCUCAGGACAAAGUAUUUCAUCUGUCCACACAUCUAUCCAUCUAUCUAACUCAUACUUACUGAGUGAUAACCAUGCAUCAGGCCUCAUGGUAAGUACUAAGGAUAUGUGGAUUGAAAAUAUGUUCUUGUUCUCAAAAAAUUUACUAUCUAUUAAGAGGAUAUCAACCUGUAUACAAACAGAAGCAUUAACCAUUAGAGGUUCUGUGAUGCAAAUAUAUAUCGUUUACAGCAAAGAGGAAAGGAGGGAGCAAUUAGUUUCAGGAAGGGUUCAUUAGGGGAAAGCUAGCUUAGGUUAGACAAUAGUUGGAAAAGGAAAGGAUUCGAAACAUUUGGGCAUGAGUGAGACAGAGGUAAAGCAAGGCAAAUCAAACGACGACCCUGCAGAGCCAGGUCUCACAUGGUUCACUGAGGCGUUUGGAAGGUACCUAGAAAGUGGGGAAGGGUAGGUAAGGUAACAAAGUGACUGGCUGGGCGUUUUAGAAAGACUGCUCUGGGAGAAAGACUAGAGUCAAGAAGUUCAUUUACAAGUCAUUGACUAUGAACCUCUCCAUUCAGGGUUCAUCUUUUCAAAGUUAUGCAGUCUAUAUCCCUCAGCACAUAAUUAUCUAAUACCCUCAUGUUAGUUCCUGUCGAGACUUUAUCACAGAAGAACUUUACCUAAGCCCACCUUUUUUUUUUUUUUUCCCAGCCGCCCCACAGCAUAUGGCACUCCCAGGCCAGGGAUCAGAUCUAAGCCACAGCCUCAAACCAAGCCUCAACUGUGGCAAUACCCGAUCCUUAACCCACAGUACUGAGCUGGGGAUUGAACCCACAUCCCAGCGCUCUCAAAAGGCUGCUGAUCCUGUUGCACCACAUCAGGAAGCUCCAAGCCCACCUUUUCAAAAGGAAAAAAGGGAUGCCUUGAGAUUUCCCCACUUACUUUUAUGCUUCAAUGAAAGAAAUUUGACUGGACAAUAUUUAUUUCACACAUUCAGUAUAUUUCUAUAAUACCCAAAGCACCAUAUAGGAUAUUCAGAAAUAAGACAUCUACUUUCUAGACGAAAGAAAAUUGUUUGGUGCAGAGGUGAUAGUUCUCAUCCUUGACGCCCAGCCUAAAUGUCAUCUCCCCCAGGGAGUGUACCCCAAUCUCUUGGCAAAAGUACUUCUAUCACCCUCUUAACUAUGACACCAUUUUCUUUCAACUAUUUAAUGCACGUGUUACAUUUCACUUUUCAUUCUGUAUCUGUCCUACUGGGUUAUGAGUUCCAUCUUAAGGGAGCAUUAACAGCAUAGGCUUUUGAGGAAGACAAACCAGAGUAGAAACCUCAAUUCUGCCCUGAAUAACUGUGUGGGCUUGGCUAAGUCAGUUCUUCACUUACAGAACAGACGCCAUCACUAACUACCUUUCAGGGUUGUUUGGAAGAUGAAUUAAGGUGCCUAGGAUAGUGCUUGGUACAUGGUUUGGGCUCAGAAACUGCUGCUUCCUCAUCCUCCUCCCCUGACAAGGGGCUGAAAUCAUCUCUUUUUUGCUUAGAGUGCCCAGGAAAAGGCAACACGUCAAGGAUAUGUAAUGUAAACUUGAUGGCUGAAUAGACACAUAAUGAAAACAAUACAUUAACUCAAUAAAUCUUCAGUUGCGGGGUUUAACUGCAGUAUGAGACUCAAGGGAGAAAGACUUUUGGACGUGGUUACGUCUCUGGACCCCCUCAUGUCAAAUCAUGAAGAUGACAAUCUCAUGACUUUACAGAAAGACAGGUCUUAUAGUUGGGGCUCUAGCUUUGGAAGAGUCAAUCAUGUGAUAUAAUUUUGUGGAUUUCUUAGGACAGGUGAUGAAACAUGUUGCUAAUUAGACGGAGAGACACUGUGAAAUAUCAUGUACAACUGCCCACUGAAGGUGAUUUAUGAGUUUCAGUCAUUACCCAUCCUUCCGCCACCAACCACACCACUAAGGUUGUAAAUAGCAGCUUCUAAACCUCUGGCUGAGGCUUGGUUCUUUAGAGUCAGUUUCCCAUGGGGCUGGGGGGGGGGGUCAAACAUGAUACUUUUAUGUGUAAAAGAAGCUAAUCUUU
This 2442-nucleotide long non-coding RNA is filed under the name Sus scrofa (pig). Its description in RNAcentral is "lncRNA (ENSSSCG00005012969.1)". Lineage: Eukaryota; Metazoa; Chordata; Mammalia; Artiodactyla; Suidae. The record is from RNAcentral.